RNAcentral lists this ribosomal RNA (447 nucleotides) under uncultured bacterium. Its description in RNAcentral is "SSU rRNA". It matches the Rfam family "Bacterial small subunit ribosomal RNA", at positions 26 to 518 of the family's 1533-position model. The record is from RNAcentral.
AGAGCGAACGCUGGCGGCAGGCCUAAUACAUGCAAGUCGAACGGAUCCUUCGGGAUUAGUGGCGGACGGGUGAGUAACACGUGGGAACGUACCCUUUGGUUCGGAACAACUCAGGGAAACUUGAGCUAAUACCGAAUGUGCCCUUCGGGGAAAAGAUUUAUCGCCAUUGGAGCGGCCCGCGUCUGAUUAGCUAGUUGGUAGGGUAAAGGCCUACCAAGGCUACGAUCAGUAGCUGGUCUGAGAGGAUGAUCAGCCACACUGGGACUGAGACACGGCCCAGACUCCUACGGGAGGCAGCAGUAGGGAAUCUUGCGCAAUGGGCGAAAGCCUGACGCAGCCAUGCCGCGUGAAUGAUGAAGGUCUUAGGAUUGUAAAAUUCUUUCAGCGGGGACGAUAAUGACGGUACCCGCAGAAGAACGCCCCGGCUAACUUCGUGCCAGCAGCCGC